Molecule: long non-coding RNA, 551 nt
Organism: Beta vulgaris subsp. vulgaris (sugar beet)
Lineage: Eukaryota; Viridiplantae; Streptophyta; Magnoliopsida; Caryophyllales; Amaranthaceae
Exons: 3
Source: RefSeq, a predicted model, not a curated record
UCCUCUCCUCUCGCUCUCGUUGUUCGUCCGUGUCUUCGUCCCCUCGCGGAUCCUCGUCAAGGUGUGCGAGUGACGAGGCUGGACGAGGUUGGUUGAGCGCGACGAACCAGCGAGGUAGUUCGAAGUCCUGCGCGAGAGGAGGUGCGACGAGCAGGACGCGGGUUUUGUGCGAAGUGGGCUGUGCGACGAGGUGCUGCGAGUGACGAGGCUCGCGAGCGGUUUUGUGAGGUUGUGCGCGAAGCUUGUGGUGAGCGAGCGAGGGAGUCCGUGAGUGCGAGGGACGCUGCGAGGCUCGCGAGCGUGACGCGGGCGACAGACGCGAGGGUGCGACGAGGUCGCGCGUGGUCGUGGGGCCGUGCGACGAAUCUGGUUCGAGCGUAGCUGUGCGACGAAGUUGUUGCGCCGUUGCCGGAAAUCGGUCGCCGGAAUUUGAUUUCCGGCGAGCUUAACGGUCCCAAUUUCAUAAGCGGAACGUUCGAUUAAGACAGCGAAAAUUCUCCGUUACAAGACUAGGUGUGCCGGUGCUGCUGCAUAAUCUCGAGCAUACGGGG